UUUUAAAGCUAUUGGUACUGUGAUGUUUAGUUAGGAGCUAAGCAUUGUUAGAAACUUCAUGGAUUUGGGAGGUUUAAGAAAAAGUGUCAGACUUUUGGAUGGAAUCUAUUAGAAGGGAAAAUUCAAUUUUGACCCAUUCCCUUGGAGCUGGCCGUAUCACCCCCACCUCUUCCCCAAGUUCAGAUAUUGAUUUGUAUUGUGGUCAAACACAUGAUUUUGCCUUGAAAUUGAGUGGAGUUAAAGGAGUGGAAGGCUGCAUGUAGCAUCUCUUGGUGCCAAAUGGAUAUGAAAUAAAGUGGCCGAUUUUAGAAGAUAUUGAAGAAUCAAGUGGGUGUCACUAAAGUUCUCAACUGUGUUCUCUUGAAAGGUGGGUUCCUUUAGAAGCUUAACUUUUAGAUUAGUUAGCACCUUUAGUUUCCCCAAAUUCAAUAUAUUUAUGAUAACAUUAGUAUUAGUUAGGAAAUUAGUCUCCCCAAAAUUAUGCAUGACAACAAUAGGAAAGUUAGGAAAUAAUUGUGUGAGAAGGUUUAAUCCCAAAACCAUCUCCAUUCUAAUUAUAUAAUAUAUUUUAGUUGCUUAUGAAUGGACAUGAAUGUGAUUGUAGGUGGAAACUGAUAAACUCUAUUAAAAGUAAAAAGCCGAGAAUUGAACUGGUAUUCUCGCAUAGCGAGCAUCUUGCUUCUCUAAGCGAGCGUAUCAGAUCAGGACUUUGUAGAAUCAACAUUUUAAAUAAAAAUCCACUCGUUUUAUGUCCUUGACUAUUAUGGAAUAUUUCGUAAGCAGCGUAAUAAUUUUAUGUGAUUAGAAUGUUUAUCACGCUCAGGAACUUAGGUUCAGGACUCAGGAUAGUUAGAAUUACCCCGGGAAGGUUUUCUUUCUUUUGGGUAGGAUAACCAUUCAAGAUUAGGAAUUAUGUUUCAGAAUCUAUCAGGAUGUUUGGUCAUUAGUACCAAUAUCAGGAAGCGUGGUCAUUAGUACCAUGUCAGGGGAUUCAUUCAGAAUCCAAAAUCAUGUAAUAAGAACUGUNNNNNNNNNNNNNNNNNNNNNNNNNNNNNNNNNNNNNNNNNNNNNNNNNNNNNNNNNNNNNNNNNNNNGGCACUCCGGGACCGGCUUACCCCGGGGUGAUCCUGUUAUGAUAAAAUUGACAAGAUAAUUAUUAUGUGUGUUACACCUUUAUUGCUUUAUUAUCAUGUUAUGAAAACUUCAGGAUUAUGUCAGGAUUAGAACUAUUAGAUAUUCAGGUUCAGGUUAAAGAUAAAAACUAUUAGUUUCAGUUGCCUCGGUGUAGUCACCAGUAGUUGGGUAGUAGGAGCUCACUGAGGCUUAGUAGUCUCAUCCCAUGACUUUCAAUUUUUUUUUAGGUAAACAGGUUAACCGGAGCAAGGACCAGGCAGGAACUGAUGAUCGAGGUUGAGCUUGGAUUAUCGGACUAGAAGACUAUCGUCUUCUUCUUUGUUUUUAUGUUAAUCUGUUAAGUUAGAAUUUAAUUCUCUUCUGCUGUAUUUUACUGGAUUAUCACAUUAUUAUCGUGAUAUUGUAAAAUUCAAGUAAUUAUUCUGUAAUUUUAAUGUACUCAGAUUCAAUUAUAUAUGUCUCGGCUAAAUAUCUAGACAAUUUAGUUGGGGCGUUACAAUUGGUAUAAGAGCAGGUCGAUCUAGUAUCGGACCUUGCCAUGAGUCAUUAGAAUUUAUUCCUAAGUAGUACGGACCCUUUGGAGUCUGGACUGUUUACGCUGAAACCAUUGCUUGUUGAGCCCGUACAACUCAGUAUCGUAUAUGGUAGACAGGGUAUUACGGUUGAGAGCCGAAGUGGACCUCCUUGGUGGUCGAGUAGUAAGAUCGAAGUAGAAGCGCAACUCAGGGGGAAGCGCGAAUAUCUUUAGAAGCGGAGGUUGGAGCUACUGCAAUCGAUGCCACACGAGUAAGUAGAGUAACACCAACAACAAGUGGCGCGUAGAAUUUGGGAACAGUGCAUGGCUGCGUACCGGUAGUGAAAGGCAUGUCUCGAAGAUGCACGAAUCAGACGUGAUCUAUUGAUAGUAACAUGUAUAAGGAUGUGGAAAAUUCUGGUAAUGGAAAACCCAUUAUCAAAGUAAGUGUUUACCGAAAGGGAAUCGAGACUGGGUAUAGAAGUAAGAUACCCAGAUGUUAGCAGUAAAUCCAAAGUUGAGUAUAUCGAAAGUUGAAUUGUUACACGGAUGAAUGUAGAUAAACCAUUAUACCGAAGUGUGUAGUACAUGAUAGUAUCCAACUGACACUAUGUGUCAGGUAAAAUUUUCCUGACCUAGAAGUAACCACAUUCUCUUGUGAACCUACGUACCAGAAGCAUGUUGAACCAAGUAAGACCUAGCAGUCAAUAGACCGAAACUCUUCCUAAGUACUUAACCUUCCUUGCAUCUAAGAAAUUCAUCCAGUGUUGUUAGACCAAUCAACUACUUGUACUAGAGAAACCAAUUAGAACACAUACACAUACCAAUAAUUUUUUUUAUGCCGUCUUAUUAGACUACCCUCUAGAAUGUCAGCAUUAAAAUGUCCUUAAUAAAAGGAAUUCACUCUUUCAAUUCAUAGACAGUAAUCAUACCAAACCUCUAGAAGCUUAGUUUUAUUUAGUAUAACAAUCAGAAAUUAUCUCUUCACAAUGCAUGUUAUCCAGGUAGGCAAACUAAGUGCUAUCAUUCAAUUGUUCUUGAACUAGUAACUCAGUUCAGUACUAGUUUCAGUCGUUCGUCAAACCAUUCAUGUAUUCAAACCUAUCAGCUAAUGAUUCAACAUAAUCAGUUAAUCCUUCCUUGAUAAGUUUGUCAGCUAAAAACCUGAAUGAGAACCCAGUUGUCCUAACUCGAGAGAAAUGCCAGCAAAAAGGAAAUUAUGAAGUAUGAGUUUGAACCCAGUAGUAGUCGGAUUGUCACCUAUCUUUCCAUGUGAACCCUAACUCAUCGUAAUUCGUCGAGUCAAACAGAUUUUGAUUCUAUAUCCACCAAUAUUAGAAAACCAUGAACGAGCGUGCUUCCCUAACUUGUCUGCUUACGCAUCAUAUAGAUACUUCAUUUUUUUUGUUUUAAUGCCUAUCAACCAUGUGCGACAUGCAAAUUCGAAAUAUCAGUAAGUCAAACUGAUAUGGUAGAACAUCACUCUUAAGUAACCAUGUCAAAUGUCUUCAGCCUUUUAGUUACGUUGAUAAUAACUAGUUCAUAUUGAUUCAAUUCGGUGAAGUUAAGAAGUAGUAAUAAGACCAUCAUUAAUAUGAUCCUUUCAGUUUCAUUCUCUAUAACCAUGUUAGAUCAGUGUUAACUCUGAGUAUCUCUGUCAGAAUAUUUCAGCUUUCUAUAUCUGUCAACGACAAUUAGGUCAAAUCAACAUAAAUUGAAAUUACUCGUAUAGGGUAAUGAAUCACCAUCAAAUGGAUAUUGUUUCUUGAUCUAAUUACUGCGUAAUGAAACCACUAAUCAUCUGGAGUUAAACAACUUAAUUCAGUCUCAGCAUUAGAAGUUCAAACCUUAUGUGUUCAGCUAGCCACAUUAGAACUCGACAGUUUAGUCAAAUCUCCAUCACACUAGCCUGCCAUUUAAAGUCUAAAAAGAUCCAACCUUUACCCGUAAGAUAAAAUUCGAACUCAAGCUCAUCUACAUGUUUAAUGUACAACUAGAUCCCGAUGUUGUGCUAGGAAGGAUUGGAAUGGUAGGUGGAAAUUUCCGAAAGAACUAUGGGUCCGUUUGCAGAUGAGUUUAACUUAUUGGCAAAAGGGGAUUGUAGUAUUUAGGCACUCUUCCACUCGUUUUAUAUUCCAAUCGAUCCUGGAGUAUUUAAACAACGCAUGUGGUGUAGUGGUACACAUGACAUGUUGAGCGCUUGUAGUGUUCGAAAAUGAGAAUAUCCAAUGGAAGGAAGAUUUUUGGAUGUCAAAAUUAUUACUCAACCUUAUAUCCUUCAGAUAACCUUGUAACGUAAACCAUUGGCCCAUGUUUUGGUGUGUACCCAACCAGGCCAUAUACCGACCUUACCAGAUACCGACCUAAGGAAGUGCGUUGAGUAACAAAGUUAUUGCCGGAAGCAAUAAAAGGAGACUAAUUGUAGCUAAGGGUGGUGAAGUGAUAAGCUAAGCAGAGACCAACUCGCGGAGAAUUUCACUGAUUGAAAGUAAGUUGUCGAAAUCAGAGUGCGCAGCAAGUAUGAGCUAAGGAUGUAGUUAGUAAUUUGACUUGUAACUUCACAACCCUUUCAAUCCAAGAAACUGGAUGUAAUUGACGUGAAAUGAGUAAUCCGCGUAUGAUGAGUAAGUACGCCCCCAGUUACACUUAAACCUUGGAUUGAAAGUAGCAUAGUACCCUUGAGAGCAAAGAUGGUGUUAAAAAAACACGGUUCAACUAAGAGGUUUAACGUGGUGAACUAGUAUGAGUAGGUGUAAUCUGGUAUAAUCUGGUAUCAACUACAAGAGAGACAAAGAGACUAAUGUUCCGUAAGCACGAGAACUGUGAACAAGUAACAAGAAAAUAUGCUUAUGGGAUAAGCGCGCCAUAGAGUUGUGGUACUGUACUAAAGUAAGGGUUCAGUUUCAUGAAAGGGACGAAGACACAAGACGGUUACCGGAUGUAAGCGAAGAUGUUCUUGAAUUUCGAGGACGAAAUUCUUCUAAGGAGGGUAGAUUGUAACAUCCCGACUUUAAUUAAUAGAAAAAUAUUAAUUAGAGGUAAUUAUUGGAGAUCAAUUGAGAAUAUUUUUAUCGGAUAAAAAUAAGAAAUUGUGAUUUAAGAAGGAGAAUGGCAAAGUAGUAUUAAGUGAGUAAAUGUUUGGCUAUUUGAUUACUUUAGUGCCUUGUGGACAUACAAUUGUCAUCACAAGUUUUCCCAAUCCUUUCUCUCUCUCACGUGCUUCUCUCUUAACUCCCCACUCACUUUAUUUUCAACCAAUAACAUCAAUGCAAUGCAAUGGAAAUAAAAUUACAAGUAAUGGGACCACAUUUGACUAGUUAGAAGGAGAAAAGGGACACAUAGUCACAAAGUUGGAAAACCAAUCUUUCCCUAUUCUUUCACUUUCACGCCUAAUCACUCCACAACCACAAGAUCUCAAUCCUCUCAUCUUUCUCUUCACGCAAAAACAGAAACAAAAGCACCAUGACCCCAUUUCAUUUCUCUCUCUCUCUCGUGGAACACACCACUCAACUUCCAUUUUUCAAGCUAGAAACCACACCCCACAUGUAACAUCCCAACCUUAAUUAAUAGAGAAAUAUUAAUUUGAGAUAAUCCUUGGAAAUUAAAUGGAAAUAAGUGAAUAAGUAUAAAAGGAUAAUUAAAGGACACAAGGAAACUCUAGUGGUAAGUGGCAAGNNNNNNNNNNNNNNNNNNNNUUAAUUUACCAUAAAAGCCUAACAACCAACCCUUCCAAUUCAUUCUUUCACUUUGCAAAAGUCAGAACAUAGCACUACUCCCUACAAACUCUCUCUCACGCCCUCAAUUAGUUUCUAACCCAUUUUUCUACUCUCAAAAGCAAAACUCAGCUCAACACCACCAACCAUGGGAGUUUCUUGCAUGCAAUUCACUCAUUAGUCUCCUCGGGUCAAUUAGAGCAAGGUAAGAAUUUGAGUCUCUCACUUCUCUUCUUUCUCAAUUCACACCAUUCACCCUCUCACCCAUAUGGGUUUCAUUCUCCAACCUCUUUGGUUUGUGGCUUGCAUGUACCUAUUUUGAUGUUCUUGGAGCUGUCAUGUUUGGUUAGAAGCUAGAGAAUUAGUGGGAACUUCAAGGACUUGAUGAAUUAAUGGAAGGAGCAGAUUUGGGAAAAAGAAAGGAAUAUGAUAGUGCAAGCUUUUCAACAACAAUUAUCANNNNNNNNNNNNNNNNNNNNNNNNNNNNNNNNNNNNNNNNNNNNNNNNNNNNNNNNNNNNNNNNNNNNNNNNNNNNNNNNNNNNNNNNNNNNNNNNNNNNNNNNNNNNNNNNNNNNNNNNNNNNNNNNNNNNNNNNNNNNNNNNNNNNNNNNNNNNNNNNNNNNNNNNNNNNNNNNNNNNNNNNNNNNNNNNNNNNNNNNAAUAUACGAAUACGAAAAAUGGGUCGUUACAGAUAGUGCAAGCUUUUCAACAACAAUUAUCAGUUGCUAUCAUCUUCAAUUAAAAGGUGGGUUCUUAGGUCCCUUGCCUUAAGAAUUUAAUUAGAAGCUUAGUUACCCCAAAAAUCACACUUGUGCAUGUUAACAUAGGUUUAAUUUAGGAUAUUUGGAAUUAAACAUUAAUUGGAUUAAUUAACUAUUAGAUUAAUUCCCUACAUGUUUGAAAUGAUAGAAAUUCAUGGAAUCUAGUGUAAACAAGUGAAUUGCAAACUGUUUUGGAGUCUCUGUUUUGAGAGUUAUGCAGGAUUUUCGUGUUUGAAUCAGUUUAUGGGAGCUAUGAAUCGAUGCUAAAGCCUCCCUGGGCUUGAGAAAUGCGCGUCUGAAACUUAUGAGCAGGUUCAUGUCUUUUGUGUACCGGUGCAUAAGCUUCAGCAUGCAGUUUUUAUAAAAAAACUAGGAACCUUUGCACCGAUACGUGCCCUGUAUGAGCUGACUCAAAGCCCGAGGAACAUAGUCAUGCAGAGAUGCAUAGGUAGCAUGAAUCGGUGCAUAGAGAGCCAAAACAUAUUUUCAACAAACUUGGUUUCUUGCACCGGUACAUAUUUCCUUUGAAUUGAUGCAUCCUGGGACAACUUUUAUAUUUUAAAAGUAAUUAGAUUCCAUGGUUUCAUAUUUUCCCACAUGCUUUAAAAUUAAUCUAGACUAAGAAUUAGGUGAGGAAACUAUGAUUAUUAGAAUUACCCCGGGAUGGUUGUUAAGUUAAGAACACUAAGAAAUUAGAAUAGUCGAGUAGAUUAGUGGUUGACACCCAAACCACCAUUCAUUAUAAUUUCGACUAUAGUAAGAUUUCCGUACAUUAGUAGGAAUCCGUUAAGUUAAAUAAUUAAUGUGAGUAAGACCACCGUGGCAUAGCUAUGUCACAAUGGGUAGUGGAGAACAUCCUGAGUGGAGAACAUCCUAAGAGGAGUACAUCCUUAGUGGACCUUUCGAGAUAUACUCACCUCGGAAGCUUCCUAUAAAAUGAAUCAAGAUAACUAUUGUGUGAUACAUCUUUAGUUUCUAUUAAGAGAAUUAUUAUGUUUAAGUCAUUCUUAUGAAUGUAACGAAUUAACGAUCGAUUCCAAUAAUGAGUCCUAAGAGAUAGUUGUACCUAGAUGGGUAGCGAGGAAUCCAUUGAGACGAAGUGACUGUCUCACCCCACUCCCUUUUGAUACAGAUAAACAGGUUGCUGAGCAGAGAGCUAUGGACUGGUCGAAGUGAAGUGGCAUUGGAUGUUACUGUCAUUGUUUAUCUGGAUAUUCUAUUAAGUCGUUGUAUAAGUUAGUGUUAUAACGUGUUUGUAUUGACUGGUUAUAUAUGGCUCUGAUGUAAGUUUUAAGUUACAUUAUGACAGGAAUGUUAUCAUUCAGUUUAGUCAAUACUUGUAUAAUGACAAGGCCUUUAUGUGUUAUGGGUAUAUACAACGAGUUUAAUUCAGUAAUUUUAAUGUAUCCCGAUCUUUAUACUUACGUCUCGGCUAAUAUUCUAGAUAAAUUAGCUGGGGUGUUAUAAUUGGUAUCAGAGCAGGUCGAUCCAGUAUCGGACUUUGCCGUGGAGCAUUAGAAUUCAAGUUAAGUAGUAGGGACCCUUUGGAGUCUGGACUGUUUACGUUGAAACCAGCGCGUGCUGAGCCCGUACAACUCAGUAUCGUGUGUGGUAGGCAGGGUACUACGGUUGAGAACCGGAGUGGACUAAGGAGGUAAAGGAUGAGU
Molecule: long non-coding RNA, 7789 nt
Filed under: Trifolium pratense (red clover)
Lineage: Eukaryota; Viridiplantae; Streptophyta; Magnoliopsida; Fabales; Fabaceae
Description: long non-coding RNA (TPRA_LNC004065)
Source: RNAcentral